Molecule: long non-coding RNA, 230 nt
Organism: Telopea speciosissima
Lineage: Eukaryota; Viridiplantae; Streptophyta; Magnoliopsida; Proteales; Proteaceae
Exons: 3
Source: RefSeq, a predicted model, not a curated record
GUUCCAUUGUUCAAGGAGAAAAUAGCAAAUGCAAUUGGUGUCCCAGUUGAGCAGCAACGACUAAUUUUUAGGGGAAAGGUCUUAAAGGAUGAUCACCUCCUCUCUGAUUACCGCCUGGAAAAUGGGCACACACUGCAUUUAGUAGCAAGACAGCCUGCCCAGUCACAGCCUUCCCCUGGAACAGCCUCUGGAAAAACCAAUGGGAAUAGUGACAUUCAUGUAAAUGAUGC